ACCAGCUCCUGGCCUUCAUGUCUGCCUUAGCUACUAAACCCAGCAGAACCAUUUCUACUGACAGGAGAUGAGCAAAGAAGACUGUGUCAUCUUGAAGAAGCUAGAAGAAUGGCAAAUUCAUUUGACGUUAUCCUAACCGUUGAUCAUGCUUGAGCAAUCUUAUAGAAUUCAUCAAGAAAGUCAAUGUGGAGGGAGGAACUGCACAGAUUCAAGAGCUUCUACAAAAUUGAGGCAAAGGGCAUUAAAGAUUACUUAUGGGAUUCCAGUUGAAAAGCAGCAGAACACUUCUGAACAAAUCUUACCCUAACACAAGAGCCAACGAGCUGUGAAUCUUUGUGACUACCCAAUGGGGCUAUGCUCUGGGAAAUCUUCCAGUCCUGUUGCUUCAGGCCUGAACAAAGAUGAUACAAAGGCAGAGGAUGUAGAAAGUACAGGGGAUUUGCAAAGCAGUGUUGAAGAAACCCUUUUAACAACAAGUGUCAGAAGGCUGUCUAGCACCAGUCCCACAGCAGAACUGUGUAUCAUCAAACCUAACACCGAACUCUAUCCAGCGGCAUCUGAAGAGAAGGCUGUGCAAUCUGUCUCCUAUGUUAAUGAAAAUGAUGGGAUGGAGAUAAUAGAUAUUGAUUGAAUUAUCUUAUGGAGAGAAGGCAGAAGAAUGGGGUUAAGAGGGAUAAUGGAAUAGCGGAGCAGACCUCAAUGGCCUAACUCUGCUCCUAUCUCCUACGGUCUUCUGUGCAUAUACGGAAUUGUGUAAACUUUUGUAUGAAUUUAAAAUGGAGUUCAAGAUGUUUUUGUUGUAUUUUUCAAUCAAAGUGAGCUUGAGCGCUCUAAAAUCUGUAAAAGACUCUGGUUUAACUCUCAGAAGUACUCAACCAAGCUGACAUUUUGA
Molecule: long non-coding RNA, 892 nt
Organism: Mobula hypostoma (lesser devil ray)
Lineage: Eukaryota; Metazoa; Chordata; Chondrichthyes; Myliobatiformes; Myliobatidae
Exons: 4
Source: RefSeq, a predicted model, not a curated record